AGCGAACGCUGGCGGCAGGCUUAACACAUGCAAGUCGAGCGGGCGUAGCAAUACGUCAGCGGCAGACGGGUGAGUAACACGUGGGAACGUACCUUUUGGUUCGGAACAACACAGGGAAACUUGUGCUAAUACCGAAUAAGCCCUUACGGGGAAAGAUUUAUCGCCGAAAGAUCGGCCCGCGUCUGAUUAGCUUGUUGGUGAAGUAACGGCUCACCAAGGCGACGAUCAGUAGCGGUCUGAGAGGAUGAUCAGCCACACUGGGACUGAGACACGGCCCAGACUCCUACGGGAGGCAGCAGUGGGGGAAUAUCGGACAAUGGGGGCGAACCCUGAUCCAGCCAUGCCGCGUGAGUGAUGAAGGCCCUACGGGUUGUAAACCUCUUUCAGCUCCGACGAAGCGAGAGUGACGUAGGAGCAGAAGAAGCACCGGCC
RNAcentral lists this ribosomal RNA (432 nucleotides) under uncultured bacterium. Its description in RNAcentral is "bacterial SSU rRNA". It matches the Rfam family "Bacterial small subunit ribosomal RNA", at positions 29 to 498 of the family's 1533-position model. The record is from RNAcentral.